RNAcentral lists this unclassified non-coding RNA (525 nucleotides) under Bombus terrestris (buff-tailed bumblebee). RNAcentral describes it as "misc RNA ENSBTSG00005032987.1". Lineage: Eukaryota; Metazoa; Arthropoda; Insecta; Hymenoptera; Apidae. The record is from RNAcentral.
GUUAUUUAUAAAUCCUUAACAAAUGUUAAUGGAAAUAUUUUUCCUUGUAUGUAUGUGUUGUAUGUAUAUGUUGUAUGUAUGUGUAUGUACUGUAGAUCAUUGUAUUCGUCAUAAAACAUUCUAUCAGAGGAUAAGCAAGAAACAAGCUAUUGAAAUUUAACAAAACGAAGCCGACGAAUUAUGAUUUACUUCAAUGAAUUUAUAAUGUAAUCUUUAAUGAUUUCUACUAAUAACGAUUACAGCAGCUUACGCAAACACGAGCAAAAGUCAGAAUCGAUUAAUCAAGUAUUACGUAAUCACAGGGAAAAUCUAAGAUAUGUGCGAAGAAUAUGGUUUUCGAGUUUUGUGUAUCUUACUUUUGAGAGGUAUUGUCGUGCUACAAAUACUUUGAAGUCAUUAGAAAAUUAUUAAAAUUUUUAAGGAUUAUUAAUAAGAAUAAUACAUCAAUUUCGUAUAAUGAAAUUAAUCUCUAUUCUUGUAUAUAUCUAUUAAAUUUUUCGAUCUUUAUUUUAAUCAAAUUUUUAA